This 70-nucleotide transfer RNA is filed under the name Marmota monax (woodchuck). RNAcentral's name for it is "tRNA.Ser". The record is from RNAcentral. Lineage: Eukaryota; Metazoa; Chordata; Mammalia; Rodentia; Sciuridae.
GGGCUGGGGCUGAGUGGUAAAGCACUUGCCGAGAAAGUGUGAGGCGCUGGGUUCGAUCCUCAGCACCACA